Molecule: long non-coding RNA, 1162 nt
Organism: Columba livia (rock pigeon)
Lineage: Eukaryota; Metazoa; Chordata; Aves; Columbiformes; Columbidae
Exons: 2
Source: RefSeq, a predicted model, not a curated record
GGAGCCCGGCGCUUGCCGGACUGCGGCAUGGCCGAGGGGGCCGGUCCGGGGCGGGGGCCGCACCCCUGUGUCUGGGGCCGUUCCGCCGCCUCCCUGGGGAGCAGAGCCCGCGGUGUGUCCGCCCGCGGGGACUCGCCAAACAGGCCGGCGUUAUCUUUUGUUAUGCCAUGAUAAGCCAGGCUUAGUUGCUAAAGGUCUCUAAUGAGGAGAGGAAAUGCGGACUGUAACGCGUGAGCCAAACUGUAUGUCCAGGCGUGGGAUCGGCGUUCAGAGAGCGCCGCAUGGGGCCCGCGGUUUUUCCUUGUAGUCUGGGGAGAAGAUGCCAGAAAGCAAACUUCGCAUAGUUCAUUCAUCUACAUUUCCAUCCUUGCUGACCUCUGAACUGGCGCUCCUUCUUCCCCACCACUGUGUACCUGCUGGAGCGAGCGAGAUCUUCAGCCUACCACCAUGUCGCUCAUGCUGUCUAGUAGAAGGAAAACAGAUCAGGAACCACGCAACCUUCUGCCAUCCUCUUUCCAAUUCUGUUAAAAUUAUUGUUAAUAUUUUGUUUUCACAGUCUCACAGAUGAUCAGCAGCUUGUUUCUUCUCUUAGAUUGCUCUCAUCAUUGUAUACCUUUACAUUCCCGUAUAAGAAAUUCAAAUUUGAACUUGCUCUAUCCUUUUUGUAUCCUGUCUUUUGGGAAAAAUGCCAACAGCCUCAGUCUACUGCAGGUAAAAUUACAGCUUUUCACUUUCUUAAAAGUGAAAGUUGAUUAUGAUUUGUGCUAUUUACCUGUUAAAUAUAUAGCUGGUAGAAUUAUGCCAGUAGCAAAAAAAAAAACAAAACUGUAAACUCACAGAAUCAAUAGAAAACAAAAUUACUGAGGUUCUUUGUGCAUGAUGGAAAUGAAGCUGCUAAGGAUUUUGCUAUGGAGGUGUAUGCACUUACUGAAUGUUUACAUGUUUUUUUACAGUAUAUACUAGUAUCGAAUUAAAGAAUUUACAGUAGAUUUUCAAAACUUUUUUUAAUUAGGGCCAAAAAAAGGUUAGUUAAAGCAUGGUAUCAGGGCCUUAACUGUGCAGGACUGUAAGCAUUCUGAAGAACAUUCCUAUUAUCUUUGUUUAGCUGUUUGUUUAUAAAUGAAAAAUAUGAGGAAAAGAAUAAACACUUUUAGAUAUACAA